This is a non-coding RNA of Chelonoidis abingdonii (Abingdon island giant tortoise), 98 nucleotides long. The record is from RefSeq and is a predicted model, not a curated record. Lineage: Eukaryota; Metazoa; Chordata; Testudines; Testudinidae.
UGAGGAAGAGAUAAUGCUGCCAUCCCUAGAAACCUUCCGAAGAGGACUGCAGAGUACAUCCAUGAAAGUUUCAUUGAGAUUUCUCAGGUGGUUUCAAG